UGGGGUGUAGCCAAGAGGUAAGGCAACAGACUUUGACUCUGUCAUCUCAGUGGUUCGAUCCCACUCACCCCAGCCA
This 76-nucleotide transfer RNA is filed under the name Bacilli bacterium. RNAcentral describes it as "tRNA-Gln". It matches the Rfam family "tRNA". From Rfam's summary of the family: Transfer RNA (tRNA) molecules are approximately 80 nucleotides in length. Lineage: Bacteria; Bacillati; Bacillota; Bacilli. RNAcentral also lists the same sequence under 1 other name. The record is from RNAcentral.